AACGAACGCUGGCGGCGUGCUUAACACAUGCAAGUCGAACGCGAAAGGGACUUCGGUCCUGAGUAAAGUGGCGCACGGGUGAGUAACGCGUAGAUAACCUGUCUUCAUGUCUGGAAUAAUACGCCGAAAGGGGUACUAAUACCGGAUAUUCUUGCUUUUCAUAAGUUAUGCAAGCAAAGGUGGCCUCUGCAUAUGCUGCUGCAUGAAGAGGGGUCUGCGUACCAUUAGCUAGUAGGUGGGGUAAUGGCCUACCUAGGCGACGAUGGUUAGCGGGUCUGAGAGGAUGAUCCGCCACACUGGCACUGGAACACGGGCCAGACUCCUACGGGAGGCAGCAGUGAGGAAUAUUGCGCAAUGGGGGAAACCCUGACGCAGCGACGCCGCGUGAGUGAGGAAAGGCCUUCGGGUCGUAAAGCUCUGUCAAGAGGAAAGAAGUGUACAAUGGCUAAUACCUGUUGUAUUUGACGGUACCUCUAAAGGAAGCACCGGCUAACUCCGUGCCAGCAGCUGC
Molecule: ribosomal RNA, 511 nt
Filed under: uncultured bacterium
Lineage: Bacteria
Description: bacterial SSU rRNA
Rfam family: Bacterial small subunit ribosomal RNA
Source: RNAcentral